RNAcentral lists this ribosomal RNA (1573 nucleotides) under metagenome. RNAcentral's name for it is "bacterial LSU rRNA". It matches the Rfam family "Bacterial large subunit ribosomal RNA", at positions 1361 to 2925 of the family's 2925-position model. The record is from RNAcentral.
CCGGUUCAUCGGCGUAGGGUGAGUCGGCUCCUAAGGCGAGGCAGAAAUGCGUAGUCGAUGGGAAACAGGUCAAUAUUCCUGUACCGAUUCUAGAUGCGAUGUGGGGACGGAGAAGGUUAGGUCAGCCGGGUGUUGGACGUCCCGGUUUAAGCGUGUAGGCGUGCCCCUUAGGCAAAUCCGGGGGGCUGAGCUGAGGCGUGAUGACGAGGAACCACGGUUCCGAAGUGAUUGAUACCAAGCUUCCAGGAAAAGCCACUAAGCUUCAGUCUAGAGUUGACCGUACCGCAAACCGACACAGGUGGGCAGGAUGAAAAUUCUAAGGCGCUUGAGAGAACUCAGGAGAAGGAACUCGGCAAAUUAACACCGUAACUUCGGGAGAAGGUGUGCCCCGGUAGCGUGUAGAGACUUGCUCUCGAAGCGCGAUGGGGUUGCAGUGAAAUGGUGGCUGCGACUGUUUAAUAAAAACACAGCACUCUGCAAACACGAAAGUGGACGUAUAGGGUGUGACGCCUGCCCGGUGCCGGAAGGUUAAGUGAUGGGGUGCAAGCUCUUGAUCGAAGCCCCGGUAAACGGCGGCCGUAACAAUAACGGUCCUAAGGUAGCGAAAUUCCUUGUCGGGUAAGUUCCGACCUGCACGAAUGGCGUAACGAUGGCCACACUGUCUCCUCCUGGGACUCAGCGAAGUUGAAAUGUUUGUGAAGAUGCAAUCUACCCGCGGCUAGACGGAAAGACCCCAUGAACCUUUACUGUAGCUUUGCAUUGGACUUUGAACCGGUUUGUGUAGGAUAGGUGGGAGACUGUGAAGCCGGGACGCUAGUUUCGGUGGAGUCAACCUUGAAAUACCACCCUGAUUUGUUUGAGGUUCUAACCUUGGUCCGUGAAUCCGGAUCGGGGACCGUGCAUGGUAGGCAGUUUGACUGGGGCGGUCUCCUCCCAAAAGGUAACGGAGGAGUACGAAGGUACGCUUAGGGCGGUCGGACAUCGCCCACAAAGUGCAAUGGCAAAAGCGUGCUUGACUGCGAGACCCACGAGUCGAGCAGGUACGAAAGUAGGUCAUAGUGAUCCGGUGGUUCUGUAUGGAAGGGCCAUCGCUCAACGGAUAAAAGGUACUCUGGGGAUAACAGGCUAAUUCCUCCCAAGAGUUCAUAUCGACGGGGGAGUUUGGCACCUCGAUGUCGGCUCAUCACAUCCUGGGGCUGUAGUCGGUCCCAAGGGUAUGGCUGUUCGCCAUUUAAAGUGGUACGCGAGCUGGGUUUAAAACGUCGUGGGACAGUUUGGUCCCUAUCUGCCGUGGGCGCUGGAAAUUUGAAGGGGGCUGCUCCUAGUACGAGAGGACCGGAGUGGACGAACCUCUGGUGUACCGGUUAUGACGCCAGUCGUAUCGCCGGGUAGCUAAGUUCGGAAGAGAUAAACGCUGAAAGCAUCUAAGCGUGAAACUCGCCUUAAGAUAAGAUUUCCCGGAGUCUUGAACUCCCUGAAGGGUCGUCGAAGACCACGACGUUGAUAGGUCAGGUGUGGAAGCGCAGCAAUGCGUUAAGCUAACUGAUACUAAUUGCCCGUGCGGCUUGAUCCU